CACGAGAGCAGUCGCAAAAUGGAAGGGUGCCACUGCUGGCAGUGUAUUGAGGAGUAAUUGAGAAAUAGAGAAUAUGAGCUUCUAGAAACUCCCCCCAAUUACCCCGCAGAAGGGGGUCUAGAGGUGGAUGAAGGCUUCUAUGAGCUGUCUGCGGGGGAAGAUAAUGAGGAGCCACCACCGGCAUUCAAAACUCCACCACCAGGGGAAGGGGGAACUCCCAGUCCAGAGUCACCCAACUCCUGGGUGACUGAAAUGGAGUCGCCGGUGGUGGUAAUUCCGAGGCGCCGCCACCACCGCCAUCAUCGCCGCCAUCGUCGUAGCUUCCACUACCGGCACACUCAUCGCCACCGCCAUCACC
This is a long non-coding RNA of Leptopilina boulardi, 358 nucleotides long. RefSeq lists it as uncharacterized. NCBI's taxonomy places the organism in Eukaryota, Metazoa, Arthropoda, Insecta, Hymenoptera, Figitidae. The transcript is spliced from 3 exons. The record is from RefSeq and is a predicted model, not a curated record.